Molecule: long non-coding RNA, 609 nt
Organism: Hippoglossus stenolepis (Pacific halibut)
Lineage: Eukaryota; Metazoa; Chordata; Actinopteri; Pleuronectiformes; Pleuronectidae
Exons: 3
Source: RefSeq, a predicted model, not a curated record
AAGAGAGAAUUAGUUGGGUGUCAUCUGCGUAGCUUUGGUAGGAAAAGCCAUGUGAGUGAAUAACAGAGCCAAGAGAGUUGGUGUACAGAGAGAAAAGGAGGGGACCCAGGACGGAACCGUGAGGUACCCCAGUGAGUGGACAAGGUUCUGACACAGAUCCUCUCCAAGUUACCUGAUGCAAAGGAGGUCGAUGCAAAGAUGGAGGAGUUCUCCACUUUCCAGCGUCCUUUCAGUGAGGCCAAGAUCAAGUUUAUGUUGGAGACGGCGGAAGCUAACAUGAAGAACAACAAGGAACGUCUGCUGAGGGAGAUAAACAAGGCCGUUCUCCGCCGACAGAACAAGAGGAAGUCUGUGCUGAACAAUCCUUAAUCAUAAAUGAUUAUGACUCAGUCUCUGACUUCAUCUACACAAAGAGUUGGAGGAGAAGAAGCUCUCAGACAGACACAGGAGGCAGAAGAAGCACUAACCGCACCAACAUGGGCAAUACAGAAUCAUGUAAUGCAUGCAUGUAAUGAUCUCUGCUAAGAUGGCUGACACUAAAUAAAUGUUGGUUGCAUGUGUGAAAGUAAUUGUCUUCUUCAAGGGUUUACUGCACUGCACAUACAUAAU